CCCUCCCGCCUCGUUCCGCUCCGCUCCCCUCCCGCCCCCGCUCCCCCCCCCGCUCCCCUCCGCUCCCGCUCCCGCCGUGCCCCGGAGAUGCUGUCGGAGCUGCGCCGCCGCCUUCCCCCCCCCCCCAGGAAGCGACCCACGGCGCCAGAUCCGACGGAAAUCGUCCCCGGGGUGACGAAGCUUAUGGAAAAAAAGACCAAAGGCCUCGAGGGAUGUUCUUCUUGACCCCCCGGGGCAAACGGAGGUGUCAGCGUCAGGAGCCAUCCUAACUGAGGCCCCGGUAGGUGAGUGCUUUUUGUGUGACUGGACGGUGAAGCUGUCUGUGGGAAUGACCUGGCUAUUGCUCAGUGUAGUCCUAAUUAAGGUGUCUUUUACUCCGUGUUCCCAGGCUCCCUCUUUCCCUUCGGUCGCCGUGGACACUGUGCCGGACGCCUCUGGCAGGACUAACCCCGGGGCUUUUAUGUCCAGCGUGCUGUGCUGUGUGUGCCUGCAGGUCAGAAAAGCUGGCA
Long non-coding RNA from Pseudopipra pipra, 509 nucleotides. RefSeq lists it as uncharacterized. The transcript has 3 exons. The record is from RefSeq and is a predicted model, not a curated record. Lineage: Eukaryota; Metazoa; Chordata; Aves; Passeriformes; Pipridae.